RNAcentral lists this ribosomal RNA (497 nucleotides) under uncultured bacterium. RNAcentral describes it as "partial 16S ribosomal RNA". It matches the Rfam family "Bacterial small subunit ribosomal RNA", at positions 28 to 507 of the family's 1533-position model. The record is from RNAcentral.
GAUGAACGCUGGCGGCGUGCCUAAUACAUGCAAGUCGAGCGAACGGACGAGAAGCUUGCUUUUCUGAUGUUAGCGGCGGACGGGUGAGUAACACGUGGAUAACCUACCUAUAAGACUGGGAUAACUUCGGGAAACCGGAGCUAAUACCGGAUAAUAUUUUGAACCGCAUGGUUCAAAAGUGAAGGACGGUCUUGCUGUCACUUAUAGAUGGAUCCGCGCUGCAUUAGCUAGUUGGUAAGGUAACGGCUUACCAAGGCAACGAUGCAUAGCCGACCUGAGAGGGUGAUCGGCCGCACUGGAACUGAGACACGGUCCAGACUCCUACGGGAGGCAGCAGUAGGGAAUCUUCCGCAAUGGGCGAAAGCCUGACGGAGCAACGCCGCGUGAGUGAUGAAGGUCUUCGGAUCGUAAAACUCUGUUAUUAGGGAAGAACAUAUGUGUAAGUAACUGUGCACAUCUUGACGGUACCUAAUCAGAAAGCCACGGCUAACUACGUG